AGUUGGCUGAUUACAAAAUGGUACUUUAUUUUCCGAUCGGAUAAGAAUUGGCAGAACUAUGCACAUCGGAAGGUGGAUAAAUGGGGGAAACUCGGAAAUCCCUCAAUUUCAUGGGGGUACCCCUUGAAAAAUUUCGAAAACUUUUAAAAUCACAUUUAAGCCCAAUUUUGAAUGUGGAAAGUGGCUUCUGAGUUCGCUGAUUACAAAAUGGUACUUUAUUUUCCGAUCGGAUAAGAAUUGGCAGAGCUAUGUACAUCGGAAGGUGGAUAAAUGGGGAAACGUGUCAGAAUCCCCUUCAAUUUGUUAUAAUGUGAUUCCUAGAAAAGAAAUAUAUUUUGAAAUUUUUACAAAACAAAAAAAAACUUCAAAGACCAUUCUGUAAAAAAUUAAUAAAAGAAAACACCAGUUGCUUCGUUUACAUAAAGUUUUAAUUAAUCUUUAUUUGAUCUUUAAUAGUAAAUAUAUUAAUUUUUUAUCCAAUCUCUCUUUCUCUUUCUCUUGUUAUCUUCCACACUCGCUCUCUCUCCCUCUGCCGUCUCCCCGUCUCUUUUUCUGGGGUCUUCUGGCUUUUCCGCUGUAGUACAAUACUUUGUAUUUUCAUUAUUUAUAUUAAUUUAUUUAUUUAUUUAUUUAUAUGUAUAGGUUUAUGUAAACUUGACAUCCACAAAUACACACAAAGCCUGAUCCUUGUAUUUUUAUUUUUUUUUUUAGCUAGGAUAUAGAAUAUAGAUUUGGGGACUGGUUGGGAGUCGAUAGUUAGCCGAAAGAAGAACAAAUCGGAAAUCGGAGAGGGCGAAACACUGAUUAGCUCCAAAUGAGAGAGAAAUGCGAUAAUCGUGUCCUUUUUCGAUAAUUUUCAUAAUGCAAU
This is a long non-coding RNA of Drosophila ananassae, 868 nucleotides long. RefSeq lists it as uncharacterized. The transcript has 2 exons. Lineage: Eukaryota; Metazoa; Arthropoda; Insecta; Diptera; Drosophilidae. The record is from RefSeq and is a predicted model, not a curated record.